ACAAGGGAGCAGUAAGACAUGUGAAGUAGCUGUUCCUGCUUUUCCAUCUUGGACAACACCUGAAACAGACAGAGGUCAUCGGUCUCAUAUUUGCUGUGUUUCAAUGUGCAUAAAUGAAUUUAUCAGCAUCUACCGGGUACAACUUUACUGUCCAUUUAAGAGAAGAUAACUUAAAGGAAAGGUACUCAAAGGUCAUUAUCUCUCCAGCACUUCCCAUGGCCAUAUGCAGUGGUUUAAAGUGUUCCUGAAGCCAGAAAGAUGUCUCUGACAGAGGCGGGUGGUCCCCAGGAAAUGGGGAGGUUCCAGAUUUCCAGCACCACCCAAGGGAGGGUUUAGCUGAGCAGGGAGAGAAGAAGCUGCAGAGGAGACUGAGGAAGGAAGGAAGCAGGAUGGAGAGCCAGAAGACCUGGAUGAACUAUAUUUUUUGCCUUUUCUGUAUUGUUUCCUAAUUGUAUUAAAGUUCCUUCCCAUUACAGUCUCAUUUGUUUUGUAUUGAUGUUGCUGAUGGCAGAACCCAUUUAGAGCAGG
This is a long non-coding RNA of Talpa occidentalis (Iberian mole), 528 nucleotides long. RefSeq lists it as uncharacterized. NCBI's taxonomy places the organism in Eukaryota, Metazoa, Chordata, Mammalia, Eulipotyphla, Talpidae. The transcript is spliced from 4 exons. The record is from RefSeq and is a predicted model, not a curated record.